UUAUGUUUCAUUUUUGUAUGUGAUGAGGAAUGAGGAUGGAUGUUUGGGAUCCUUGUGUACUACAGUAACUACGAUAAGCAUGAUGCUCGAUCACCCUGUCAACUGGUUUUUCUUGCUUAAUUGCGUGCUAAUAAUAGGCAUUUUGGACUUUGUUUACUGAUGAAUAUACUUUGGAUCAGAUUAAAACACAUUUGUACUAUUUAAGUAAUGGCCGUCCAUCACUAUGUUGGCCAUUUUAUGUUAAUUAUGUUGAAGAAGAUUCUAUGCCAAUUGUAAAGUUUCAAUUGUUUUAGGGGUUUUGCACUGGUUAUGCAAUUUCAACUAUUUUUAUCAUGUGUACUGAUGCAAUGCCAGAAGUGUGUUCUCUCCUGGCAAGGCAAGAAUGCUUUAGGAUUUGUUAAUUUCAUAAGCUCUGUUUAAGUUUAAUUUUGAAUUGCUAGCGUGUUUUUUGUUUAUUACUUGCAUAAUUUGUAUUCCCUAUGUUUUUGUUUUUCUGCUCGUAUAGAUUCUUGUUUUGUUUUCCUGGUUGCUGAUGAAAUUUUUUUAUUAAGGUCCUGUGUCUGUGACCAUGACUUCUGUUUUGUGGUAUAACUGCAGGUUUUAUGACUCAUUGGUAACUUA
Molecule: unclassified non-coding RNA, 621 nt
Filed under: Hevea brasiliensis (rubber tree)
Lineage: Eukaryota; Viridiplantae; Streptophyta; Magnoliopsida; Malpighiales; Euphorbiaceae
Source: RNAcentral